Molecule: ribosomal RNA, 426 nt
Filed under: uncultured Dothideomycetes
Lineage: Eukaryota; Fungi; Ascomycota; Dothideomycetes
Description: LSU rRNA
Rfam family: Eukaryotic large subunit ribosomal RNA
Source: RNAcentral
AUCAGCUCAAAUUUGAAAUCUGGCUCUUUCAGAGUCCGAGUUGUAAUUUGCAGAGGGCGCUUUGGUGUCGGCAGCGGUCCAAGUUCCUUGGAACAGGACGUCACAGAGGGUGAGAAUCCCGUACGUGGUCGCUGACCUACACCGUGUAAAGCCCCUUCGACGAGUCGAGUUGUUUGGGAAUGCAGCUCUAAAUGGGAGGUAAAUUUCUUCUAAAGCUAAAUACUGGCCAGAGACCGAUAGCGCACAAGUAGAGUGAUCGAAAGAUGAAAAGCACUUUGGAAAGAGAGUCAAACAGCACGUGAAAUUGUUGAAAGGGAAGCGCUUGCAGCCAGACUUGCUUGUAGUUGCUCAUCCGGGCUUUUGCCCGGUGCACUCUUCUGCGAGCAGGCCAGCAUCAGUUUGGACGGUUGGAUAAAGGCCUCUGUC